GGGGGACCUUCGGGCCUCUUGCCAUCGGAUGUGCCCAGAUGGGAUUAGCUAGUAGGUGGGGUAACGGCUCACCUAGGCGACGAUCCCUAGCUGGUCUGAGAGGAUGACCAGCCACACUGGAACUGAGACACGGUCCAGACUCCUACGGGAGGCAGCAGUGGGGAAUAUUGCACAAUGGGCGCAAGCCUGAUGCAGCCAUGCCGCGUGUAUGAAGAAGGCCUUCGGGUUGUAAAGUACUUUCAGCGGGGAGGAAGGGAGUAAAGUUAAUACCUUUGCUCAUUGACGUUACCCGCAGAAGAAGCACCGGCUAACUCCGUGCCAGCAGCCGCGGUAAUACGGAGGGUGCAAGCGUUAAUCGGAGUGACGGGGCGUAAAGCGCACGCAGGCGGUUUGUUAAGUCAGAUGUGACAUCCUCUCGACUACAAGUCU
Molecule: ribosomal RNA, 429 nt
Filed under: Escherichia coli
Lineage: Bacteria; Pseudomonadati; Pseudomonadota; Gammaproteobacteria; Enterobacterales; Enterobacteriaceae
Description: bacterial SSU rRNA
Rfam family: Bacterial small subunit ribosomal RNA
Source: RNAcentral